This 492-nucleotide ribosomal RNA is filed under the name uncultured bacterium. RNAcentral's name for it is "partial 16S ribosomal RNA". It matches the Rfam family "Bacterial small subunit ribosomal RNA", at positions 29 to 507 of the family's 1533-position model. The record is from RNAcentral.
AGUGAACGCUGGCGGUAGGCCUAACACAUGCAAGUCGAACGGCAGCACAGUAAGAGCUUGCUCUUACGGGUGGCGAGUGGCGGACGGGUGAGGAAUACAUCGGAAUCUACUUUUUCGUGGGGGAUAACGUAGGGAAACUUACGCUAAUACCGCAUACGACCUACGGGUGAAAGCAGGGGAUCGUCGGACCUUGCGCGAUUGAAUGAGCCGAUGUCGGAUUAGCUAGUUGGCGGGGUAAAGGCCCACCAAGGCGACGAUCCGUAACUGGUCUGAGAGGAUGAUCAGCCACACUGGAACUGAGACACGGUCCAGACUCCUACGGGAGGCAGCAGUGGGGAAUAUUGGACAAUGGGCGGAAGCCUGAUCCAGCCAUACCGCGUGGGUGAAGAAGGCCUUCGGGUUGUAAAGCCCUUUUGUUGGGAAAGAAAAGCAGCAGGUUAAUACCCCGCUGUUCUGACGGUACCCAAAGAAUAAGCACCGGCUAACUUCGUG